RNAcentral lists this small RNA (1055 nucleotides) under Histoplasma capsulatum. RNAcentral's name for it is "hypothetical RNA". RNAcentral also lists the same sequence under 1 other name. The record is from RNAcentral. Lineage: Eukaryota; Fungi; Ascomycota; Eurotiomycetes; Onygenales; Ajellomycetaceae.
AUUGUCUCAGCUUGGGUCAGGAAAAAGCUAGGUAUUACAAACUACAUGUGCUAUUGGCAGGCAUAAGAGCCUGCAGCUGUCGAUCCUAUGGACGUUCAUACAGCUACACUGACAACUUGAAGCCGAAUGGUUGACAGGGGAAUAUAUUCCUCAAAGCAUUUCUAAAUACCUAGCUAAGGAGAUAUAAAAUAGGUAUACAUACAAACACAAGAAAUCCUAAUAUCUUUAAAUAAAAUUUAUGGCAAGGAACACCCUCCAAUAACAAAAAUUUUUUUGUCUAUGCCUUGCUCUUCUUCGUCUUGGACCUUUCUCCCUUACCUGAUUUCCCUGCACCUGGAAGGCUAGCGUUCCCCUUCUCACCUUUUGCCAGUUUCUCCGGGGUAUCUGACACCGCACUCACUUUCUUCGACGUAGAUUUACUUUCUAUCUUCUCCACUUCGCCAGCCUUUUUCGCCUCCUUCACGGUAGUAUCCUUCUUAUCCUUCCUCUCUUUCUUCUCCUUCUUGGACUUGUUUGAAGUAAUCUCCACGUCAGCAACACGUCCAUUGGGCUUCUCUGCUCCGUCUGUCGAGGUUUCAAUGGUAGCACGCUGUUCUUGUUUAUUCGUAGAUUCCUCCAUCCCCACAUCAUCAAUCCUUGCCUGCCCCUCCUUCCCAUCGACAGCAAUAUGAACCUCAUCAACUCCCUUCAAUGCCGGAAUCUCAAACUCGUAGCCAAGCGCCUUCAUCUUCUCCGCUCUCUUAGCUCUUCUCGCGUUUUCCUGUUUAAUCUUCUUAGACCACUUCUCCUUCGUCUUCCCCGCCUCCAUCCGACGCCUCUCAAUGUCGUUCCACGGCGUCCUCUUGAAUCGUUUAUUUGCUCCCUUCCACAAUUGCGGAUGCACACUCUCCUUGGGUAUGUACUUGCAUUUCAAAAUGUGGCCGAACAUGAGGUAGUUGUCCAUCGUGUCAGCGACGACUUUGGCGACGGACGCGGAAGCGAACUCGAGAAACGCGAAGUGCUUGGAUUUGCCUGUAGUGCGGUUGCGGGAGAGGCGUAGUCGGGUGAUGGGGCCG